Molecule: long non-coding RNA, 313 nt
Filed under: Hordeum vulgare
Lineage: Eukaryota; Viridiplantae; Streptophyta; Magnoliopsida; Poales; Poaceae
Description: long non-coding RNA (HVUL_LNC012729)
Source: RNAcentral
UUUUGCGCAAAUACAGAUGAAACUUUAUUAUACCUGUGAAUGUGACACGGGAAACUUUACCGCACAACCAAAAUGACAUUUGACGACGAUAUGAUAUAUGCUCGUACUUUUGAGUAAUAUACUUAGUUUCAAUCUGUUGCCAUCAAUGGCUAAAUACAUGAACUAAUAUUCCCGUAACAACAUGAUUAUGAUGAUAAAUACAUCACAUCUAUAUCGAUGCAUUCAUCUUCAAACAAAUUAAAUGACCUUUGACCGAAAAGAUGUGGUAAACUGCAUCCAAGUUCACCAUAUGUGGUAGAUAACAUCUUCUCNN